This 120-nucleotide ribosomal RNA is filed under the name Gonatozygon brebissonii. The record is from RNAcentral. Lineage: Eukaryota; Viridiplantae; Streptophyta; Zygnematophyceae; Desmidiales; Gonatozygaceae.
AACCGGGCUUCUUUGUAAAACCUUAUAACACCCGAACCCUUUUUGAUCUCGAAAAGUGAAAUCGUUUUACACCAUAUGUACUAAUUUGUGAAUUUUGGGAGACUUGGUCGAAGCCCGGUU